RNAcentral lists this ribosomal RNA (1443 nucleotides) under metagenome. Its description in RNAcentral is "bacterial SSU rRNA". It matches the Rfam family "Bacterial small subunit ribosomal RNA". The record is from RNAcentral.
AGAGUCUGAUCCUGGCUCAGGAUGAACGCUGGCGGCGUGUUUAAGGCAUGCAAGUCGAACGGCAUAUUCUAUAUGUAAGUGGCAAACGGGUGCGUAACACAUUGGUAACCUGCCCCUGAGACGACCAUAACCCGCCGAAAGGUGGGCUAAUAGUCGAUAUAAUUACUUAUUCGUAAGUAUAGUAAUGAAAGACGCAAGUCACUCAGGGAGGGGCCUAUGGCAUAUCAGCUUGUUGGUGAGGUAAUGGCUCACCAAGGCUAUGACGUGUAGCGGGUGUGAGAGCAUGACCCGCCUCACGGGGACUGAGACACUGCCCUGACUUCUACGGAAGGCUGCAGUCAAGAAUAUUGGACAAUGGACGAAAGUCUGAUCCAGCGACGCCGCGUGGAGGAUGAAGCCCUUCGGGGUGUAAACUUCUUUUCUUAGGGACGAAUUCGUGACGGUACCUAAGGAAUAAGAGGUCGCUAACUCUGUGCCAGCAGCGGCGGUAAUACAGAGACCUCAAGCGUUAUCCGGAUUCAUUGGGCGUAAAGGGUCCGUAGGUGGUUUGUCGUGUCUCGUGUUAAAUAUACAGGCUCAACCUGUAUGCUGCACGAGAAACUGGCAAACUAGAGGACGGGAGAGGCAGACGGAAUUGCCGGUGUAGUAGUAAAAUGCGUUGAUAUCGGCAAGAACACCAAAGGCGAAGGCAGUCUGCUAGAACGUUCCUGACACUAAGGGACGAAAGCGUAGGUAGCGAAGCGGAUUAGAUACCCGCGUAGUCUACGCUGUAAACGAUGGGCACUAGACAUUGGCAGUAUCGACCCUGUCAGUGUCGUUCACAUAAGCUAACGCGUUAAGUGCCCCGCCUGUGGAGUACGACCGCAAGGUUAAAACAUAAAGGAAUUGACGGGAGCCUGCACAAGCAGUGGAGCAUGUGGUUUAACUCGAUAGCAAGCGGGGAACCUUACCAAGGUUUGACAUAUAGCUGCAAGCCCUAGAGAUAGGGUCGCCUUCGAGGGUGCUAUACAGGCGCUGCAUGGUCGUCGUCAGCUCGUGUCGUGAGAUGUCCGGUUAACUCCUUCAACGAGCGCAACCCCUAUGCUUUGUUCAAUUGACAAAGCAGACUGCGGUCGCAAGACCGAGGAAGGUGGGGACGACGUCAGAUCAGCAUGGCCCUUAUACCUUGGGCUACACACAUGCUACAAUGGUCAAUACAAAGGGGCGCGAAACCGCAAGGUGGAGCAAAUCCUAUCAAAAUUGGCCUCAGUUCGGAUUGGAGUCUGCAACUCGACUCCAUGAAGUCGGAAUUGCUAGUAAUCGUGAAUCAGCCUCGUCACGGUGAAUACGUUCUCAGGCUUUGUACACACCGCCCGUCACGUCAAGGGAGUCGGCAAUACCCGAAGUUCGAUGUAUUUCGUUCGAAGGUAGGGUCGAUAACAGGGACGAAGUCGUAACAAGGCA